ACACAUGCAGUCGAGCGGGGAAGGUUACUUCGGUAACUGACCUAGCGGCGGACGGGUGAGUAAUGCUUAGGAAUCUGCCAUUUAGUGGGGGACAACAUUCCGAAAGGAAUGCUAAUACCGCAUACGUCCUACGGGAGAAAGCAGGGGAUCUUCGGACCUUGCGCUAAAUGAUGAGCCUAAGUCGGAUUAGCUAGUUGGUGGGGUAAAGGCCUACCAAGGCGACGAUCUGUAGCGGGUCUGAGAGGAUGAUCCGCCACACUGGGACUGAGACACGGCCCAGACUCCUACGGGAGGCAGCAGUGGGGAAUAUUGGACAAUGGGCGCAAGCCUGAUCCAGCCAUGCCGCGUGUGUGAAGAAGGCCUUUUGGUUGUAAAGCACUUUAAGCGAGGAGGAGGCUCUCUUAGUUAAUACCUAAGAUGAGUGGACGUUACUCGCAGAAUAAGCACCGGCUAACUCUGUGCCAGCAGCCGCGGUAAUACGGAGGGUGCGAGCGUUAAUCGGAUUUACUGGGCGUAAGGCGUGCGUAGGCGGCUUUUUAAGUCGGAUGUGAAAUCCCCGAGCUUAACUUGGGAAUUGCAUUCGAUACUGGGAAGCUAGAGUAUGGGAGAGGAUGGUAGAAUUCCAGGUGUAGCGGUGAAAUGCGUAGAGAUCUGGAGGAAUACCGAUGGCGAAAGCAGCCAUCUGGCCUAAUACUGACGCUGAG
This 704-nucleotide ribosomal RNA is filed under the name uncultured bacterium. RNAcentral's name for it is "bacterial SSU rRNA". It matches the Rfam family "Bacterial small subunit ribosomal RNA", at positions 51 to 750 of the family's 1533-position model. The record is from RNAcentral.